GAUGAACGCUGGCGGCGUGCCUAAUACAUGCAAGUCGAGCGAACAGACGAGGAGCUUGCUCCUCUGACGUAGCGGCGGACGGGGGGGGAACAACGGGAAAACCUACCUAUAAGGCUGGGGUAACUUCGGGAAACCGGGACUAAUAACGGAUAACAUGUUGAACCCCCAGGGUCAACAGUGGAAGACGGUCUUUCUGUCACUUUAAGAUUGAACCGCGCCGGAUUAGCUAGUUGGUAAGGUAACGGCUUACCAAGGCAACGAUGCGUAGCCGACCUGAGAGGGUGAUCGGCCACACUGGAACUGAGACACGGUCAAGACUCCUACGGGAGGCAGCAGUAGGGAAUCUUCCGCAAUGGGCGAAAGCCUGACGGAGCAACGCCGCGUGAGUGAAGAAGGUCUUCGGAUCGUAAAACUCUGUUAUUAGGGAAGAACAAAUGUGUAAGUAACUAUGCACGUCUUGACGGUACCUAAUCAGAAAGCCACGGCUAACUACGUG
Molecule: ribosomal RNA, 496 nt
Filed under: uncultured bacterium
Lineage: Bacteria
Description: partial 16S ribosomal RNA
Rfam family: Bacterial small subunit ribosomal RNA
Source: RNAcentral